CCUACGGGGGGCAGCAGUGAGGAAUAUUGCACAAUGGGGGAAACCCUGAUGCAGCAACGCCGCGUGAAGGAAGACGGUUUUCGGAUUUUUAACUUCUGUUCUUAGUGAAGAAUAAUGACGGUCGCGAAGCAUCAAGCCACGGCUAACUACGUGCCAGCCGCCGCGGUAAUACGUAGGUGGCAAGCGUUGUCCGGAAUUACUGGGUGUAAAGGGAGCGCAGGUGGGAAGCCAAGUCAGCUGUGAAAACUACGGGCUUAACUUGUAGACUGCGGUUGAAACUGGUUUUCUUGAGUGAAGUAGAGGUAGGCGGAAUUCCGAGUGUAGCGGUGAAAUGCGUAGAUAUUCGGAGGAACACCGGUGGCGAAGGCGGCCAACUGGGCUUUAACUGACGCUGAGGCUCGAAAGUGUGGGGAGCAAACAGGAUUAGAUACCCGGGUAGUC
RNAcentral lists this ribosomal RNA (441 nucleotides) under uncultured bacterium. Its description in RNAcentral is "partial 16S ribosomal RNA". It matches the Rfam family "Bacterial small subunit ribosomal RNA", at positions 338 to 795 of the family's 1533-position model. The record is from RNAcentral.